GAUGAACGCUAGCGGCAGGCUUAAUACAUGCAAGUCGUGGGGCAGCACAGUCCGCCGAAAGGCGGAUGGGUGGCGACCGGCAAACGGGUGCGGAACACGUACGCAACCUUCCUACAGGCGGGGAAUAGCCCAGAGAAAUUUGGAUUAAUACCCCAUAAAAUUUUAAGAUGGCAUCAUCUUAUUAUUAAAGCUUCGGCACCUGAAGAUGGGCGUGCGGCUGAUUAGGUAGUUGGCGGGGUAACGGCCCACCAAGCCUGCGAUCAGUAGCUGAUGUGAGAGCAUGAUCAGCCACACGGGCACUGAGACACGGGCCCGACUCCUACGGGAGGCGGCAGUAAGGAAUAUUGGUCAAUGGACGCAAGUCUGAACCAGCCAUGCCGCGUGGAGGAUGAAGGUCCUCUGGAUUGUAAACUUCUUUUAUCUGGACGAAAAAGGGUUUUCUAACUCGUCUGACGGUACCAGAUGAAUAAGCACCGGCUAACUCCGUGCCAGCCGCCGCC
This 500-nucleotide ribosomal RNA is filed under the name uncultured bacterium. RNAcentral's name for it is "bacterial SSU rRNA". It matches the Rfam family "Bacterial small subunit ribosomal RNA", at positions 28 to 519 of the family's 1533-position model. The record is from RNAcentral.